GAGCACCGCACCCAACUCACAUCAACGCCCUGCCACAGGUGACAGGUCAGAUGGGCGGGUUAAGUGUGAGAGUCUGGAGGUGAAAGGUCAGAUGGGCGGGUUAAGUGUGAGAGUCUGGAGGUGAAAGGUCAGAUGGGCGGGUUAAGUGUGAGAGUCUGGA
Long non-coding RNA from Anguilla anguilla (European eel), 160 nucleotides. RefSeq lists it as uncharacterized. The record is from RefSeq and is a predicted model, not a curated record. NCBI's taxonomy places the organism in Eukaryota, Metazoa, Chordata, Actinopteri, Anguilliformes, Anguillidae. The transcript is spliced from 2 exons.